RNAcentral lists this ribosomal RNA (494 nucleotides) under uncultured bacterium. RNAcentral's name for it is "partial 16S ribosomal RNA". It matches the Rfam family "Bacterial small subunit ribosomal RNA", at positions 29 to 507 of the family's 1533-position model. The record is from RNAcentral.
ACGCACGCUGGCGGCGUGCCUAAUACAUGCAAGUAGAACGCUGAAGGAGGAGCUUGCUUCUCUGGAUGAGUUGCGAACGGGUGAGUAACGCGUAGGUAACCUGCCUGGUAGUGGGGGAUAACUAUUGGAAACGAUAGCUAAUACCGCAUAAUAGCAGUUGUUGCAUGAUAACUGUUUGAAAGGUGCAAUUGCACCGCUACCAGAUGGACCUGCGUUGUAUUAGCUAGUUGGUGGGGUAACGGCUCACCAAGGCGACGAUACAUAGCCGACCUGAGAGGGUGAUCGGCCACACUGGGACUGAGACACGGCCCAGACUCCUACGGGAGGCAGCAGUAGGGAAUCUUCGGCAAUGGACGGAAGUCUGACCGAGCAACGCCGCGUGAGUGAAGAAGGUUGUCGGAUCGUAAAGCUCUGUUGUAAGAGAAGAACGAGUGUGAGAGUGGAAAGUUCACACUGUGACGGUAUCUUACCAGAAAGGGACGGCUAACUACGUG